GACAGAGGUUGCAAACGUUGUUCGGAAUUACUGGGCAUAAAGCGCACGUAGGCGGUUCGUUAAGUCAUGUGUGAAAUCCCUCGGCUCAACCGAGGAAUUGCGCCUGAUACUGGCGGGCUAGAGAUCGAUAGGGGUGAGUGGAACUCCAGGUGGAGCGGUGAAAUGCGUAGAUAUCUGGAGGAACACCGGUGGCGAAAGCGGCUCACUGGAUCGAUACUGACGCUGAGGUGCGAAAGCUAGGGUAGCAAACAGG
RNAcentral lists this ribosomal RNA (253 nucleotides) under uncultured bacterium. RNAcentral describes it as "partial 16S ribosomal RNA". It matches the Rfam family "Bacterial small subunit ribosomal RNA", at positions 524 to 776 of the family's 1533-position model. The record is from RNAcentral.